RNAcentral lists this ribosomal RNA (564 nucleotides) under uncultured bacterium. Its description in RNAcentral is "partial 16S ribosomal RNA". It matches the Rfam family "Bacterial small subunit ribosomal RNA", at positions 355 to 912 of the family's 1533-position model. The record is from RNAcentral.
UGGGGAGUUUUGGACAACGGGGGAAACCCUGAUCCAGCCAUCCCGCGUGUGCGAUGAAGGCCUUCGGGUUGUAAAGCACUUUUGGCAGGAAAGAAACGUCGCGGGUUAAUACCCCGCGAAACUGACGGUACCUGCAGAAUAAGCACCGGCUAACUACGUGCCAGCAGCCGCGGUAAUACGUAGGGUGCAAGCGUUAAUCGGAAUUACUGGGCGUAAAGCGUGCGCAGGCGGUUCGGAAAGAAAGAUGUGAAAUCCCAGAGCUUAACUUUGGAACUGCAUUUUUAACUACCGGGCUAGAGUGUGUCAGAGGGAGGUGGAAUUCCGCGUGUAGCAGUGAAAUGCGUAGAUAUGCGGAGGAACACCGAUGGCGAAGGCAGCCUCCUGGGAUAACACUGACGCUCGUGCACGAAAGCGUGGGGAGCAAACAGGAUUAGAUACCCUGGUAGUCCACGCCCUAAACGAUGUCAACUAGCUGUUGGGGCCUUCGGGCCUUGGUAGCGCAGCUAACGCGUGAAGUUGACCGCCUGGGGAGUACGGUCGCAAGAUUAAAACUUAAAUGAAUUG